RNAcentral lists this ribosomal RNA (411 nucleotides) under uncultured bacterium. RNAcentral describes it as "bacterial SSU rRNA". It matches the Rfam family "Bacterial small subunit ribosomal RNA", at positions 505 to 916 of the family's 1533-position model. The record is from RNAcentral.
GUGCCAGCAGCCGCGGUAAUACGUAGGGGGCUAGCGUUGUCCGGAUUUAUUGGGCGUAAAGAGCGUGUAGGCGGCCAGGUAGGUCUGCUGUGAAAACUCGAGGCUCAACCUCGAGACGUCGGCGGAAACCAUCUGGCUAGAGUCCGGAAGAGGAGAGUGGAAUUCCAGGUGUAGCGGUGAAAUGCGCAGAUAUCAGGAGGAACACCGAUGGCGAAGGCAGCUCGCUGGGACGGUACUGACGCUGAGGCGCGAAAGCGUGGGGAGCGAACAGGAUUAGAUACCCUGGUAGCCCACGCCGUAAACGAUGGAUGCUAGCCGUUGGACAGCUUGCUGUUCAGUGGCGCAGCUAACGCAUUAAGCAUCCCGCCUGGGGAGUACGGUCGCAAGAUUAAAACUCAAAUGAAUUGACGG